AAUGGCGGAAACAGAGGGAUGCGAGCCGGUGACGCAAGCAACCCAAAAACACCGUCCCAGUUCGGACUGUAGUCUGCAACCCGACUACACGAAGCCGGAAUCGCUAGUAAUCGCGGAUCAGAAUGCCGCGGUGAAUACGUUCCCGGGUCUUGUACACACCGCCCGUCACACCAUGGGAGUCGGAAAUGCCCGAAGUCAGUGACCCAACCGGAAGGAAGGAGCUGCCGAAGGUGGAGCCGGUAACUGGGGUGAAGUCGUAACAAGGUAAC
RNAcentral lists this ribosomal RNA (269 nucleotides) under uncultured bacterium. RNAcentral's name for it is "partial 16S ribosomal RNA". It matches the Rfam family "Bacterial small subunit ribosomal RNA", at positions 1229 to 1500 of the family's 1533-position model. The record is from RNAcentral.